RNAcentral lists this ribosomal RNA (432 nucleotides) under uncultured bacterium. RNAcentral describes it as "partial 16S ribosomal RNA". It matches the Rfam family "Bacterial small subunit ribosomal RNA", at positions 29 to 506 of the family's 1533-position model. The record is from RNAcentral.
AACGAACGCUGGCGGCAUGCCUAACACAUGCAAGUCGAACGAGACCUUCGGGUCUAGUGGCGCACGGGUGCGUAACGCGUGGGAACCUGCCCUUAGGUUCGGAAUAACUCCCCGAAAGGGGUGCUAAUACCGGAUAAUGUCUUCGGACCAAAGAUUUAUCGCCUUUGGAUGGGCCCGCGUUGGAUUAGCUAGUUGGUAGGGUAAAAGCCUACCAAGGCGACGAUCCAUAGCUGGUCUGAGAGGAUGAUCAGCCACACUGGGACUGAGACACGGCCCAGACUCCUACGGGAGGAAGCAGUGGGGAAGAUUGGACAAUGGGCGAAAGCCGGAUCCAGCAAUGCCGCGGGAGUGAUGAAGGCCUUAGGGUUGUAAAGCUCUUUUACCCGGGAUGAUAAUGACAGUACCGGGAGAAUAAGCUCCGGCUAACUCCGU